GGUGUCCGAGUUGUAAUCUCUAGAAGUGUUUUCCGCGUUGGACCGCACACAAGUCUGUUGGAAUACAGCGGCAUAGUGGUGAAACCCCCGUAUAUGGUGCGGACGCCCAGCGCUUUGUGAUACACUUUCAAUGAGUCGAGUUGUUUGGGAAUGCAGCUCAAAUUGGGUGGUAAAUUCCAUCUAAAGCUAAAUAUUGGCGAGAGACCGAUAGCGAACAAGUACCGUGAGGGAAAGAUGAAAAGCACUUUGGAAAGAGAGUUAACAGUACGUGAAAUUGUUGGAAGGGAAACGCUUGAAGUCAGACUUGCUUGCCGGAGCUUGCUUCGGUUUGCAGGCCAGCAUCAGUUUUCCGGGGUGGAUAAUGACGGUUUGAAGGUAGCAGUCUCGGCUGUGUUAUAGCUUUCCGUUGGAUACGCCCUGGGGGACUGAGGAACGCAGCGUGCUUUUUGCGAAAGACUCGUCUUUUUCACGCUUAGGAUGCUGGUGGAAUGGCUUUAAACGACCCG
This 506-nucleotide ribosomal RNA is filed under the name Rhodotorula diobovata. RNAcentral describes it as "eukaryotic LSU rRNA". It matches the Rfam family "Eukaryotic large subunit ribosomal RNA", at positions 133 to 651 of the family's 3401-position model. The record is from RNAcentral. Lineage: Eukaryota; Fungi; Basidiomycota; Microbotryomycetes; Sporidiobolales; Sporidiobolaceae.